UGAUGCUCUUUCCCCACCCUUGGAGGA
RNAcentral lists this non-coding RNA (27 nucleotides) under Homo sapiens (human). Lineage: Eukaryota; Metazoa; Chordata; Mammalia; Primates; Hominidae. The record is from RNAcentral.